RNAcentral lists this ribosomal RNA (603 nucleotides) under uncultured fungus. RNAcentral describes it as "eukaryotic LSU rRNA". It matches the Rfam family "Eukaryotic large subunit ribosomal RNA", at positions 23 to 641 of the family's 3401-position model. The record is from RNAcentral. Lineage: Eukaryota; Fungi.
ACCCGCUGAACUUAAGCAUAUCAAUAAGCGGAGGAAAAGAAACCAACAGGGAUUGCCCCAGUAACGGCGAGUGAAGCGGCAAGAGCUCAAAUUUGAAAGCUGGCUCCUUCGGGGUCCGCAUUGUAAUUUGUAGAGGAUGCUUCGGGAGCGGUCCCCAUCUAAGUGCCCUGGAACGGGACGUCAUAGAGGGUGAGAAUCCCGUAUGGGAUGGGGUGUCCGCGCCCGUGUGAAGCUCCUUCGACGAGUCGAGUUGUUUGGGAAUGCAGCUCUAAAUGGGUGGUAAAUUUCAUCUAAAGCUAAAUAUUGGCCGGAGACCGAUAGCGCACAAGUAGAGUGAUCGAAAGAUGAAAAGCACUUUGAAAAGAGAGUUAAAAAGCACGUGAAAUUGUUGAAAGGGAAGCGCUUGCGACCAGACUCGCUCGCGGGGUUCAGCCGGCAUUCGUGCCGGUGUACUUCCCCGCGGGCGGGCCAGCGUCGGUUUGGGCGGUCGGUCAAAGGCCCUCGGAAGGUAACGCCCCCAGGGGCGUCUUAUAGCCGAGGGUGCAAUGCGACCUGCCUAGACCGAGGAACGCGCUUCGGCUCGGACGCUGGCAUAAUGGUCGU